CGACAGAGGGUGCGAACGUUGUUCGGAAUUACUGGGCGUAAAGCGCGUGUAGGCGGCUAUGCAAGUCGGGUGUGAAAGCCCUGGGCUUAACCGAGGAAGUGCACUCGAAACUGCAUAGCUCGAGUCCCGGAGAGGAUGGUGGAAUUCUCGGUGUAGAGGUGAAAUUCGUAGAUAUCGAGAGGAACACCGGUGGCGAAGGCGGCCAUCUGGACGGGUACUGACGCUGAGACGCGAAAGCGUGGGUAGCAAACAGGAUUAGAUACCCCAGUAGUCC
RNAcentral lists this ribosomal RNA (274 nucleotides) under uncultured bacterium. RNAcentral describes it as "partial 16S ribosomal RNA". It matches the Rfam family "Bacterial small subunit ribosomal RNA", at positions 523 to 796 of the family's 1533-position model. The record is from RNAcentral.